UUUCAGCCUCACCAGCUCCUUCCUUCCUUUUAUCUGCCACUGGCCUGCCAUGUGUUGAUGGAUAAGUCACUUUCCCCUGUGAGUCUCCUUUACUAGGGGUAGGGAGGAAUUUCAGCCAGAGGGCUGCAUUCUCUUCUAUGAAACCUUAUGAGGGCCACAUGGGGCCUGAGCAUUAACAGUAAACUUUAUGUUUGUACAGCCUGGACAAUGAGGUCCAGCUCUGAGGGCCUUCUGAUUGUUCCCUCACUGUGAGAAGUGAAGUUACAGAGAACCAGGCAGAGGGCUUAUAUGACUUUUAGAAGACAUCUGAAUGAACCUUUAAUGCUUGAUGUCUUACUGUGUUUUUAUAAUUUGUUGGAAGCCGCCCAGAGUGGCUGGGUCAACCCAGUCAGAUGGGUAGGAUACAAAUAAAAAGUAUUAUUAUUAUUAUUAUUAUUUAUUUGGCUAGUUUACCUAAACACAAACCUCUAUCUUCCAUCUAGAUAAGCAAGAGACAUUAUCAGAGUUCAAGGACAUAUUCUGGUCAGACAAAAACAUUUGGGCUAUGAGACAGGACCAGUGAGGUGAGUCACCUGAGGAGAAAUCUGAGGGCCAAAAAGAGAGAGGCUUUGGAGGGCCACAUUUGGACCCCAGGCCUGAGUUUCUCUAUUCGUACUCUGUACACAUAUACUAAAAAUACCAGCACCUGGCAUUGAAUACUGAGACCAUGUUGCAAUAGGGGGACGCUGCGAGAAAGUGUGUGCUUUUGUGAACACCUCACAGGGAGAUCCCAAAGCCAGGAGAGUAAUUGAGACAAGCCAUUUGAGAGCUUUAAGCUAAUGGACUAAAUUCCAACAUUAUUCUGAAAGUGCCAGGAAUGGGCUAAGCUUGAAAGAAUGCUGGCAAAUACUUGACAUUUUCGCAGCACCCAAACUGCCUGCCCUUACAGGGCGCCAUGGGAGCAGGAAAGACUUAAAAUGGAAUUGGCAUUGCUGAGAGCUAUCCACUUGCCUCAGCAAGGAGGAAUGCUAACCCAUUUCAGUUCAGGGAAUAAGAGAUUUGGUGGGAAUGGUAGGAAGGAGGGGCAGCAACAAGGGGAGGGGGAUAAUGCAAAAACUUUUGUAGAGCAAUUUAGAACUUAAGCGGGUGGCCCAAACACAAGCCCCGCAGCUGACGUCAGGGGCUACAACCCCGACUUAAUAAUAAAUAGGUUUGCCUUCUCUUUAUUACAUGGCUGACAUUCUUCUCAUACAGUGGCUUCUGAUAGCUUCAGAACAACCAGCCAGGCAGGGACUCCUGCAGGGGUCAGUUGUGCCAUGGAUAAUUAAUACUGUUUGACCUUGCAUAGAGCCAGUUUACUUGUUUGAGAGCACCGGGCCUUUGCAAACAUAUCUCAGAAGUAGACACAGUAUAUAAAUGUAAUGAAUGUGCUGCUGUAAACAUUAUAAAUUAAACAGACUGGAGUCAAGUGUGGGCAAAGGAACUUGACUCUUAUCAUGAUCUAUAAAAUGGCUGCUUCUCUAAGUUCCUGUUUCUUGCUUGGUGUUCCCCAGAACGGCUUCCCUCACUACAACCACACAUGGAACACUUUAGUUCCACUUAUCAGCUGCUGUCAUCAGAAGGAAGAGGCCCUCUAAUGGACAUUUUUCAUUAUCAGUCCCCAGAUCCUUCAUCAAUCACCUCCUACAAAUGUUUAUUAUAUUUAGUUAAAUUUCAUGAAGAAUGAAAUUCAUGAAGAAUGAAACCUUGUUUUCAUGUUCUUUCUUUCCUUCUUUCAUGUCUGUCUGUCACUGUGGGCAGGAACUGUGACCAUUGGUCCACCUAGUUCAGUAUCACAUACAGUGACUGGUAGCUGCUCUUCAGGGUUUCAAACAGGAGUGUUUGCUCAGCUCCACCUGGAGAUAUUGGGAACUGAAUUUGGGACCCUUUGUAUAUGGACUAUGUGCUCUACCACUGAGCUAUGACUAUACCCCUGACAGAUAUACACAGAAGGAAGUACUAUUGGUUUCAGUGGAAACCACUUCCACUUAAUGAUUUACCCUUGUCUAUGCCUGAAGGAAGGCGCAGCUUCUUUCAGGGCCUCAUUCAGCAGCAACAACAACAAACUUUGGGAAACACAUUCAUUCUUCACCUCAGUUGUUGAGGAGUGGGUUUACAUUUUAAAAUAUUUCAUUCAUGAGUAAGUGUUAGGAAAAUAUGCAAUUUUGGUAAGAACACCAAUAUUUUUCUCUCUCUUCCCUACCCCCAUUUACAUGGAUGUUUAUUUGGGUUGCAACCUGGUGGUCCUAAAGUUUAUCAUGUAAUGAUCCCUUUUGCUAUCACUGACUGUUUUGAAGAGUUAAACACCAUAUACUGUAGGACGGUCCUUAAGUGCCUGUAGGAGGAGCUGUCUUUCAGCACUUAGUACCAUGUGUGGAAUAAUCAUCAGGAGCGGAGGAGGGGAAUGUGUAGCCACAGAAUUCAUUUCCUGGCAGAAAUGAGGAAGGCAGCAUGAAAUGACUGGCAGUAUCUAGCUGACUGUGAAGUUACUAAAUAGACUGUUGGGAUCCCUGCACUUGGUUGGGAAGCCCCAAGCCAUUUAGAGAUGGUAAAACAAUAUCACAGUAGCCCUCUUGAGACUUGUCUUAAGAUGAAGACUUAUGCAAUAUUCGUAGGCUGUUUGAGUUGGGGAAAGACGGCUGGUUUCAAAAGUGCCCUCUUACCACAUUAAAUACAAAUAUACUUUUUGUCCCAGAGCAAUCUCAAAAAAAAAAAAAAAAGUCCCUCUACAUUUCCAGCACAGUCAGUUUGGACAGGUAAAGCUAGUUUGGAAGGUUACCCAUUGGCUAGUAUCAAUGAUGUCACUGACACAUUACUCUCAGUAGCAUUUUUUUCAACUGUUUUUAAAAAUAGUUGUUCAGGUUUUGGUACAAAGGGUGAAAAUAUAAGAAAAAAGAGCCCCACCUCCCACACAAAGGUGAGCAUGAGGGACAUGGCAGAGCUGCAACUGAUUUAGUAUAUGUUUGCUAGAACAUAUGCCUAUAGUGUGUUAUGAGAGCAGGAUCACACCACAAGUGAUGCCUCUUCAAUCUUUUGCUUAUCUUCAGGAUUUAUUUGCAGCUAGAGACCAAGCAAAAUGUUGAAUAACAGGCAAAAAGCAUGAAUGCCUGUAUUCGCAUUAAGAACAUAGCUUAAAAAUCUUGAUCUGAAAGUAAUGCUAGGUUUUUUGGUUUGUAAGUUUUUCAAUAACUUCUUUUUAUUGAACUGAAGUUAAAAGCAAGAUGUUAAAAUCGUAUCAAAACUCAAAUAACAUUGGUGGAACCCAUCUUAACAUGCCAGGCGCAGGAAAACUCAGGCCUAGGAACCAAAUGUAGCCCUCCAGACCUCCCCAUCUGGCCCUUGGCGCACUCCCCCAGGCUGCACCCCUCCUGUUUCGCACACCAAGUCUUUGUACCUGAUUAGAAUGUGUCCCUGAAUUUUUGCUUGUCUGGAUGGAGAAUGGAGAGGCCUAUGCAGGAACCAGCCUACUGCAAUUUGUUCCUCCGCCAACCUUUGCCUCUGGAUCUGCCCACAAUUGCUAUGUGGCCCUCAGGAGGUUGGCCAAAAGAGAAUGUGGCCCUUUGGGCUGAAAGAGAUUCCCCACCCCUGCAAUAUGUGAUAGGGAUUAAAAGGCCUAGGACUUUUCACUUGCCUAGCAACUAAUUGAAUAAAGUUGGCCAAGUGUGCUCCACAGAUAGCAAUGAUUAGCUGUUACACAAAGUGGGGUUUCUUUUGACAGCCAAGAGGCUAUGGCUGAAAUGGAAUGAGAGGCAGCUCGAUUCACAAAGAACAAAUAAUAAAAACGAUUCCUUGGAAUUGAUUCUAAGAUCUUUUGAAGUAUGAUCAAAUUUGUGUCCUUUAAAUUUGCAGUGGCAGUAAGCAUGGUUUCAGCAUCUACCCUGAAGAUGACACAGGAUAUAAUUAUAAAUUGCCCCUCCCUGCUAUUGAAGCCCCAGUAGCAAUACCAAGGGGCUUCUAAAUAACAGAUCAGCUUCCGAGCAAAGCCACAGACAGGCAUGGAAGGGCGACUACUGUUCUGUGACUCAUUCCGAGAUUCCAUCUGUCCGCCCUGCCUUUGGCAAUUUGUUAUUCCCAUUAAGGAGCGCAGUCUUCCUUUCCCAAUGGAGUUAACUGCAAGCCUGAGGUCAGAAGUGUGUUCUUAUAAUAAGUGGUCUGAAAACUGUAACAGGCAGAAUUCAACAGGCUGUAUUCAGCCCUUCCUCCCAAAGGAGACUAUGGCGGUAGUGUAUUGAUGCUGAUCAUUUAUGUUGAUUUUAAUGUUUAUUGUAUACGUGAUUUUGGUUUUAUUGCCUUUUAUUGUUGUGUUUUUACAGUGUUGUACUCAAGGGAUCUUGCGAUGAAUGGCGGGUUGGAAAAACCAUAAACACACAAAAAGCAUCAUGCUGCUGAGGUUCUCUUCGCAUCUGGAAUGUGACAGGAUCAGAUUUUUUCUCUGUCUCUAAAUCAUAGAGGUCACCUGAUUGUGUGUUUGUGUGUGUCCAAAAUCAAGGCAAGAUAGUGGGUUGUGGAAUCAAUACAUUUAUGAGACUGUUUUCAUCUGUCUCUCAUACAGAUAUAGCAGUGAGUAGAACGAGGUCUUGAUGCUGGGGCCACCUGUAGAUAAACAUGAAUUAGAAGGGGAUAGACCUGGAAAGUAAGUUUUUCAGAGUCCAGGCCGAUCCAGGUCUCACCACCACUCAGUAGAUUUGUUCUCUGAUGCUAGUUAUGUUUCUUUAUUUGGAGUAUUUACUUACCUGGGAACCUCUAUGGUUUUUGCUGAGCACCAUUAGCAGUUAUAUUGUUAGAGGUGAAAAACACACUCUGAUUCUCAGACAUGGUGACUGUGUGCCUCCUCUUUUACAUACCCAGAUUCAGCACUUCCCCAGGUUUGGAACGGUUUCCCUCCUUGUCUAUGUGGAUAAGCCAUUAAAGAGACAGAUGAUUCCUGCUGGGCAGAAGUAAACCCUGCGGUCACGAGAAACGGUUCUCUGGUUACGUCUAGGCAGGUGGAUAGACUGUCUAGCCAAAUGUAAACACAGCCCAUGUUUUCAUUUUCUGCUAACACCUGAGAAUGAGUACUCCCACACAACUGAAAACCCCUAGGAGGUCCAGAGGAGCCGGAAUCCAAGGCAGCUACUGCCAAAGAAAGUCAAAAGACAGGAUAACCGAGGGGGGAAAAAGUGGGGGGCAGAUAUCCUUUGCUGUCAAUUACUGUUAUAGGAGUGUUGGAGCUGAAGAAGCACCUUUCACCCAUCCAAAGGACGAUCAGCUCCCCUUGACUGUAAACCACCAUCUGAGAAAACACUGCCGAAAGGCCUGUUAUGAAAAAAUAAACCUCAUAUGCUGCUCCUUGUAACUCCGAACCAAGGCAA
Molecule: non-coding RNA, 5369 nt
Organism: Podarcis lilfordi (Lilford's wall lizard)
Lineage: Eukaryota; Metazoa; Chordata; Lepidosauria; Squamata; Lacertidae
Source: the annotation of a GenBank genome assembly